CCUACGGGUGGCAGCAGUGGGGAAUAUUGCUCAAUGGGCGGAACCCUGAUGCAGCGACGCCGCGUGAGUGAUGAAGUAUCUCGGUAUGUAAAGCUCUAUCAGCAGGGAAGAAAAUGACGCUACCUGACUAAGAAGCCAUGGCUACCUACGUGCCAGCAGCCGCGGUAAUACGUCGGGUGCAAGCGUUAUCCGGAUGUACUGGGUGUAAAGGGAGCGUAGACGGCAGAGCAAGUCUGUAGGCAAAGCCCGCGGCCCAACGGCGGGACUGCUUUGGAAACUGCCCGGCUCGAGUGCUGGAGAGGUAAGCGGAAUGCCUGGUGUAGCGGUGAAAUGCGUAGAUAUUAGGAGGAACACCAGUGGCGAAGGCGGCUUACUGGACAGUAACUGACGUUGAGGCUCGAAAGCGUGGGGAGCAAACAGGAUUAGAUACCCGAGUAGUC
RNAcentral lists this ribosomal RNA (440 nucleotides) under uncultured bacterium. RNAcentral describes it as "partial 16S ribosomal RNA". It matches the Rfam family "Bacterial small subunit ribosomal RNA", at positions 338 to 795 of the family's 1533-position model. The record is from RNAcentral.